GACGAACGCUGGCGGCGUGCCUAAUACAUGCAAGUCGAACGAUGAAGGAAGAACUUGCUCUUCUGGAUGAUUUCCGCACGGGGGAGUAAAGCAUAGGUAAACUGCCUCUUAGAGGCGGGGAACAAUUCGAAAAGAUAGCUAAUACCGCAUAACAUUAGAUGAUGCAUGACGUUUACUUAAGAAGUGCAAUUGCAUUACUACCAGAUGGACCUGCGUUGUAUUAGCAAGUUGGUGGUGUAACGGCUCCCCAACGCGACGAGAGAUAGCCGACCUGAGGGGGGGAUCCGCCACACUGGGAACGGGAAACGGCCCAGACUCCUUAGGGGGGCAGGAGUAGGGGAACUUCGGGAAUGGACGGAAGGCUGACCGAGCAACGCCGCGUGAGUGAAUAAGGGUUUCGGGUCGUAAAGCUCUUGUUAAAGGGAAGAAAGAGUGUUGUAGUUGAAAGUGCACACUGUGACGGUACCUUACCAGAAAGGCACGGCUAACUACGUG
RNAcentral lists this ribosomal RNA (495 nucleotides) under uncultured bacterium. RNAcentral's name for it is "partial 16S ribosomal RNA". It matches the Rfam family "Bacterial small subunit ribosomal RNA", at positions 28 to 507 of the family's 1533-position model. The record is from RNAcentral.